UUUUGGAAUCUCAGGGAGGUGAGAACCUUGCUCUCAGAGGGUGACUCAAGUCAACACAGGGAACCCCUCUUUUCUACAGACACAGUGGGUCGCAGGAUCUGACAAGAGUCCAGAGCUCCAGGGACUGUGAGGUGAGGCCUUGGUCUAAGGCAGUGUUUUCAGGUCACAGAGCAGAAAGGGCCCAGACAGUGCCAGGAGUCAAGUUCUCAGGGGACAGGGAGAGCAAGAGGUCAAGAGCUGUGGGACACCACAGAGCAGCACUGAAGGAGAAGACCUGUAAGUUGGCCUU
This 289-nucleotide long non-coding RNA is filed under the name Homo sapiens (human). RNAcentral's name for it is "non-protein coding lnc-MAGEA10-1:4". The record is from RNAcentral. Lineage: Eukaryota; Metazoa; Chordata; Mammalia; Primates; Hominidae.